This 606-nucleotide long non-coding RNA is filed under the name Nicotiana benthamiana. RNAcentral describes it as "long non-coding RNA (NBEN_LNC023964)". The record is from RNAcentral. Lineage: Eukaryota; Viridiplantae; Streptophyta; Magnoliopsida; Solanales; Solanaceae.
AAGAUAGCACAUAACAUAUAAUUUAUCCAUAUAUUGUUCAUAUGUAUGUAGAUAUAAGUCCAUAUAUCUAGAUAUAAAUCCAUAUAUCUUACAAGAAUGACUAUUUGGUCGAGGUUCAGUUUCUUGAAAAGGUUUGAGAGCCUUCAAUGGAGAUUUCGUUGUCACUAGUUGCCGGUGUAGAAGAAAGAACGAAGAAGGAGAAAAAAAGAUAAGAAAAACUAAAUUGAUAAAAUAGUUUGUCAAAAAGAUGAAUACAAGAUCGGAAAAUAUAAAAGGGAACGAAAAAAACCAAAAAAUAAAUACAAAACAAAACAGAGGGGAACACGGGAGCUACGGUAAGGAGAAAGAAGAUGUAGAGAUUAGAGAGAAACGUAACAACAUGAAAUAAAAUCUCCGAAGAGAAGAAAGAAAAAAAUACAAAAAAGAGAGGACUUACUUGUACUCGAUGAGAGAUCGUCGGAGUUAUGCCGGCUUGGUAGUGGUCUCACGACGGUGGAAGACGAUGGGUAAAGAGACGUUAGACAAACUAAAAAUUCCUUUUUCAAACGUACCCUUAGUUUAGUCAGUCACAUUGUUUCUUUUCUUUCUUGUAUGGCCAUAUAAUCU